GGCCUUAUGGUGUAGUGGUAACAUAUCCUCAGUUAAUGGCCGAGACAAAAUUGGUAUGAGGAAGUCCCUUGUUCGAAUCAAGGUGAGGCCA
Non-coding RNA from Mycena leptocephala, 91 nucleotides. NCBI's taxonomy places the organism in Eukaryota, Fungi, Basidiomycota, Agaricomycetes, Agaricales, Mycenaceae. The record is from the annotation of a GenBank genome assembly.